CAGUAGCCGCGGGAAUACGAGGGGGGCAAGCGUUGUUCGGAAUUAUUGGGCGUAAAGGGUGCGUAGGCGGUUUGGCAAGUCUUGUGUGAAAUCUUCGGGCUCAACCCGAAGCCUGCACGAGAAACUGCCGGGCUUGAGUAUUGGAGAGGUGAGUGGAAUUUCCGGUGUAGCGGUGAAAUGCGUAGAUAUCGGAAGGAACACCUGUGGCGAAAGCGGCUCACUGGACAAUAACUGACGCUGAUGCACGAAAGCUAGGGGAGCAAACAAGAUUAGAUACCCCUGUAGUCCCUGUCUCUUAUAA
RNAcentral lists this ribosomal RNA (301 nucleotides) under uncultured bacterium. RNAcentral describes it as "partial 16S ribosomal RNA". It matches the Rfam family "Bacterial small subunit ribosomal RNA", at positions 509 to 809 of the family's 1533-position model. The record is from RNAcentral.